UACGAAGGGGGCUAGCGUUGCUCGGAAUUACUGGGCGUAAAGGGAGCGUAGGCGGACAGUUAAGUCAGAGGUGAAAGCCCAGGGCUCAACCCUGGAAUUGCCUUUGAUACUGAUUGUCUUGAGUAUGGGAGAGGUAUGCGGAACUCCGAGUGUAGAGGUGAAAUUCGUAGAUAUUCGGAGGAACACCAGUGGCGAAGGCGGCAUACUGGCCCAUUACUGACGCUGAGGCUCGAAAGCGUGGGGAGCAAACAGG
RNAcentral lists this ribosomal RNA (253 nucleotides) under uncultured bacterium. Its description in RNAcentral is "partial 16S ribosomal RNA". It matches the Rfam family "Bacterial small subunit ribosomal RNA", at positions 524 to 776 of the family's 1533-position model. The record is from RNAcentral.